GGCAGCAUGGUGUAUCGAAGCACACGGGGUCACUAUGAAAGCAUAUGCGAGGACUUUCACCCCGAGGUCCUUGUUCGAGCCAAGGUGCUGCUC
Molecule: non-coding RNA, 93 nt
Organism: Mycena metata
Lineage: Eukaryota; Fungi; Basidiomycota; Agaricomycetes; Agaricales; Mycenaceae
Source: the annotation of a GenBank genome assembly